CGAGGGUUUUGCUUCAUUUUGUUCAGAAUUGUGAACAGUGCCGUCUUCUUCCCUCUGCUUCAAUGGCAGCGUGAGCAGUGCCGUCUUCUUCUUCUUUGCCCCCGGGUUUUCAACUUAUUUUGAAAUUGAAUUCUGGAACUUGAAGCUAUUGGUAAUUCAGAAUGACAUCUAAAAAAGAUGUGAAAAGUUUAGAGAAGGAUGGAAAAGUUGUUGCAAAAUGGGGGGAUGACAGUAAAACAGAAAGUUUGCUGAAAAUUUGCAUUGAAGAAAUAGAAGCGGGUAAUAGGCCAACUACCCACUUCAGUAAA
This is a long non-coding RNA of Lathyrus oleraceus (garden pea), 308 nucleotides long. RefSeq lists it as uncharacterized. The transcript is spliced from 3 exons. The record is from RefSeq and is a predicted model, not a curated record. Lineage: Eukaryota; Viridiplantae; Streptophyta; Magnoliopsida; Fabales; Fabaceae.